RNAcentral lists this unclassified non-coding RNA (337 nucleotides) under soil metagenome. RNAcentral's name for it is "partial contains 5.8S ribosomal RNA, internal transcribed spacer 2, and large subunit ribosomal RNA". The stretch from base 1 to 120 matches the Rfam family "5.8S ribosomal RNA", at positions 35 to 154 of the family's 154-position model. The record is from RNAcentral.
GAUGAAGAACGUAGUGAAAUGCGAUAAGUAGUGUGAAUUGCAGAAUUCAGUGAAUCAUCGAAUCUUUGAACGCACAUUGCGCCCCAUGGUAUUCCGUGGGGCAUGCCUGUUCGAGCGUCAUUUACCCCCUCAAGCUCCGCUUGGUGUUGGGCGUCUGUCCCGCUUCGCGCGCGGACUCGCCCCAAAGGUAUUGGCAGCGGUCGUGCCAGCUUCUCGCGCAGCACAUUGCGCUUCUCGAGGCACCGGUGGGCCCGCGUCCAUCAAGCUCACCCCCCCAGUUUGGCCUCGGAUCAGGUAGGGAUACCCGCUGAACUUAAGCAUAUCAAUAAGCGGAGGA